This 379-nucleotide ribosomal RNA is filed under the name uncultured bacterium. Its description in RNAcentral is "bacterial SSU rRNA". It matches the Rfam family "Bacterial small subunit ribosomal RNA", at positions 28 to 404 of the family's 1533-position model. The record is from RNAcentral.
GACGAACGCUGGCGGCGUGCUUAACACAUGCAAGUCGAGCGGUAAGGCCCUUUCGGGGGUACGACGAGCGGCGAACGGGUGAGUAACACGUGGGUGACCUGCCCUCAGCUCUGGGAUAAGCCUGGGGAAACCGGGUCUAAUACCGGAUAUGACUCCAUGACGCAUGUUGUGGGGUGGAAAGCCUUGUGCGGCUGAGGAUGGGCCCGCGGCCUAUCAGCUUGUUGGUGGGGUGANGGCCUACCAAGGCGACGACGGGUAGCCGGCCUGAGAGGGCGACCGGCCACACUGGGACUGAGACACGGCCCAGACUCCGUACGGGAGGCAGCAGUGGGGAAUCUUGCGCAAGUGGGCGAAAGCCUGACGCAGCGACGCCGCGUGA